ACGGGAGGUAGCAGUGGGGAAUAUUGCACAAUGGGCGAAAGCCUGAUGCAGCGACGCCGCGUGAGUGAAGAAGUAUCUCGGUAUGUAAAGCUCUAUCAGCAGGGAAGAAAAUGACGGUACCUGACUAAGAAGCCCCGGCUAACUACGUGCCAGCAGCCGCGGUAAUACGUAGGGGGCAAGCGUUAUCCGGAUUUACUGGGUGUAAAGGGAGCGCAGGCGGCCUGGCAAGCCAGAGGUGAAAACCCGGGGCUCAACCCCGUGAUUGCCUUUGGAACUGUUAGGCUUGAGUACUGGAGGGGCAGGCGGAAUUCCUGGUGUAGCGGUGAAAUGCGUAGAUAUCAGGAGGAACACCGGUGGCGAAGGCGGCCUGCUGGACAGAAACUGACGCUGAGGCUCGAAAGCGUGGGGAGCAAACAGGAUUAGAUACCCUGGUA
This 434-nucleotide ribosomal RNA is filed under the name uncultured Lachnospiraceae bacterium. RNAcentral's name for it is "partial 16S ribosomal RNA". It matches the Rfam family "Bacterial small subunit ribosomal RNA", at positions 341 to 792 of the family's 1533-position model. Lineage: Bacteria; Bacillati; Bacillota; Clostridia; Lachnospirales; Lachnospiraceae. The record is from RNAcentral.